UGGGGAAUCUUGCGCAAUGGGCGAAAGCCUGACGCAGCAACGCCGCGUGGGGGAUGACGGCCUUCGGGUUGUAAACCCCUUUCGACCGGGACGAAGGACUCGUUUGACGGUACUGGUAGAAGAAGCACCGGCUAACUACGUGCCAGCAGCCGCGGUAAUACGUAGGGUGCGAGCGUUGUCCGGAAUUAUUGGGCGUAAAGGGCGCGCAGGCGGCCCGGCUGGUCGGGUGUGAAAGCCCGGGGCUCAACCCCGGAACGGCACCCGAGACCGCCGGGCUGGAGACCGGGAGAGGAGGGUGGAAUAGCCAGUGUAGAGGUGAAAUUCGUAGAUAUUGGCUGGAACACCGGUGGCGAAAGCGGCUCUCUGGCCCGGUUCUGACGCUGAGGCGCGAAAGCGUGGGGAGCAAACA
This 409-nucleotide ribosomal RNA is filed under the name uncultured bacterium. RNAcentral's name for it is "bacterial SSU rRNA". It matches the Rfam family "Bacterial small subunit ribosomal RNA", at positions 355 to 774 of the family's 1533-position model. The record is from RNAcentral.